AGUUUACCUAAAAGGCAAAAAAAAAGUUCAUUUUGUAAACACACACAGCACAAUGCUAAAAAUGCCAAUGCAGAUUUCUAUGUCAACACAGACAUUCCUUUCCCUUUACUGAUUUCAACCUAAUAGAACACUUAAAAAAUAUCAUUCAUAUAGUUUCAGGAGGUGAAAUCUGUUAUAAGAGCAUGGACUCAACAAUCUUGCAACAGAAGGGCUCCUUUAUGACAUUUAGGAGAGAAGGAUCCCUGCUGCAUCUUUGUUCGUGUGCAAUUCACUGAUUUUUUGCAAAGAGCUGAGGAGGAUCAAGAAAAAAGCAAACCCCCAAAGCCCAAGGAUCCUUGCUAUAAGCACUGCAUUAUCAGCUUUGGGAUUAUGAACAGGGAAAAUGAGUGCUCCCAAUGCUGUCUGGACCUCGCAGAACAAUCAAGUGUUGUGGGCAAAGGAGGAGUUGUGAUUUAACAGGGUGCAAAUCCAUUUUAUAUAAUUUGGAUUAAACACCAAGAGGCUAGAAGACCCUUUGCAGAAAGGAUCCACACAAAACCAGGAAGAUACUCCCAUCUUGAUUUCUGCUUUUUCAUCAUGCAAUGCAAUGCAUUUAUCAUUAUCAUGAAAGAAAACAGGUAAAAUGGCCAAGUAUGGACGUUCUGUACCACAAAGAUCGUCCGAGCUGCUGGGAGAUGACAUGACAGCCUCAGGAGCAGUCAGUGACAAAUUGCUGGCCAGCAGUCAGAUAUCUGCCCCCCUCAUGCCUCACCAUGCUGCUCUGUAUUCCUUGCACACUCACUUUUCAGAUUGAUCCUGAGUUCUUGAAUA
Molecule: long non-coding RNA, 810 nt
Organism: Neopsephotus bourkii (Bourke's parrot)
Lineage: Eukaryota; Metazoa; Chordata; Aves; Psittaciformes; Psittacidae
Exons: 3
Source: RefSeq, a predicted model, not a curated record